RNAcentral lists this ribosomal RNA (324 nucleotides) under uncultured eukaryote. Its description in RNAcentral is "partial 18S ribosomal RNA". It matches the Rfam family "Eukaryotic small subunit ribosomal RNA", at positions 1470 to 1796 of the family's 1831-position model. The record is from RNAcentral.
CCCUUAGAUGUUCUGAACCGCACGCGUGUUACACUGAUGCAUUCAACGAGCUUUACCUUGGCCGAGAGGCCUGGGAAAUAUUUUUAGCAUGCAUCGUGAUAGGGAUUGAUUAUUGCAAUUAUUAAUCAUGAACGAGGAAUUCCUAGUAAACGCAUUUCAUCAAAAUGCAUUGAUUACGUCCCUGCCCUUUGUACACACCGCCCGUCGCACCUACCGAUUGAGUGGUCCGGUGAAGUCUCGAGAUUGUGGCAAUCUCCUUUAUUGGAGUUUGACUGCGAGAACUUGCCUAAACCUUAUCACUUAGAGGAAGGUGAAGUCGUAACA